Molecule: non-coding RNA, 112 nt
Organism: Streptococcus sp. HSISB1
Lineage: Bacteria; Bacillati; Bacillota; Bacilli; Lactobacillales; Streptococcaceae
Source: Rfam
UGUGCUAUACUUUAAAGCGUUGUCUCUACAACCCUUGGCGCUUUUUCCCUUUCGCCAAGCAUAUUAGAAACGUAGAAGGGGCUAACUUUCUAACGUUAAAGGAGAAGAAUUU